Long non-coding RNA from Etheostoma spectabile (orangethroat darter), 1399 nucleotides. RefSeq lists it as uncharacterized. NCBI's taxonomy places the organism in Eukaryota, Metazoa, Chordata, Actinopteri, Perciformes, Percidae. The record is from RefSeq and is a predicted model, not a curated record. The transcript has 2 exons.
AAACAAACAGUCGGCCCCAUGGUGUUAUCUGAGAUCUUUGGUGGCUUUGGGGACUUUUAAAACUUUGUAAAUGUCAUUGGAAAAGACCGUGGCGAAGUGGGGACGUGAGCUCUUGGACAUGUGGGUGCAAAACGGAGUUUGACCAACAUUUUGGGGAUCCUCAAUGUCCCAGAUCUCGGGCAUGCUGCACCCAGGCCUGGGCGAAGAAACAAGAUACAGAGAAGAAGACAGAAGAAAACAAGAAAGAAAAAAGGAAAGAAACGUGUUCCUGGGUAACAAUGUGCCCCCUUUCUGUGAGGUACCUGGUUCUCCUUGUGCACCAGGAGUCCUCCAGGACGAAGUAGUCCACUCCCAGCUUCAUCAGGUUCCCCCGCACCGUUUGGCCAGUCAUGCGGCUGUACAUGGAGUAGACCAGCUUGGUCCUCUCCCUGCGUGGAACGCAAUACAGCGCCGUUACAAAUCAUAAGCUGGAACACAACUAGAGUCUAAUGCAGCAGAAUGAGGACUGAAUUAACUACAAAGUUCUCCGUUUCAUAAUGCAGAACUUUGAACCUGCAAAUAUUUGGAUGACAUCCACUCUGAUGGUCCUAAAGAAAAUCAGCCAUCACAGGAUAUUCCCAAUGUUCAGACAUUAAUUUGAAUGUUUUUUUAAUCCUAAUAUCUUAUUAAGUGAAGCAUUGUAACAAGCUUGUGAUCACUUUCUCCUGUAGUUUAUGUGUGAAGAUAGUGUUGACAUUUCCUGCUGCUAAGGAAAGAUAGAGUGAUACAUGUAGGAAAGAGAGACCAGAUUUACACGAAGACAGAUUUUACACACAUUUUACAUUCAAUUCAAAAACUGCCUCGAGCCACAUAUGGAUGCUUUGUUGAACACGUCAUUUUGGUUCCUGAUUUAAGCAGCGGAGCAGUUUGUGGUGCUGCGAGUUCCACUGACCUCAGACCAGAGUCUUCAUAGUGGGGGUGGUUGACGAUGGGCCGGCCUGUGGAAAGCUUCACGCUGGCCAUAGUGGGCAUGGCCCCAGCAAACACAGAAUCUGCAUCAAUCACACAUAAAACCACAAACAAAUGAGACUACAAAGAGAUGGAACAGGGAAGUUGUUUAGGUAUAGAAUGUACUUAGAAAAAACCUGAUACUAGACCAGAUCCCCUUGACGUCACACUUACGCAUUUAGGACCCGAUCUUGCACCGGGCGCAGCGCCAAGACUGAUGCAAGUGUCUUUGCUAGUUUAAGACCGAUGCAGUUGUGAAUUUCCCGUCCAGCGCCUAUGUUGUUUAAAUGGCAAAUGCACCUGAAUGCAUCUGUGCGCCAAUGGGUGUGCUGGUCUUACAGGGAGGUGUGUUCAGGUGCAUUCUUGGCAUAUUGCUAACUUGAGGCAGCGGAAAGUGAGCUCGCCGUUGACU